This 460-nucleotide ribosomal RNA is filed under the name uncultured bacterium. RNAcentral's name for it is "partial 16S ribosomal RNA". It matches the Rfam family "Bacterial small subunit ribosomal RNA", at positions 338 to 795 of the family's 1533-position model. The record is from RNAcentral.
CCUACGGGUGGCAGCAGUGAGGAAUAUUGGUCAAUGGGCUUACGCCUGAACCAGCCAAGUCGCGUGAGGGAAGACUGCCCUAUGGGUUGUAAACCUCUUUUGUCAGGGAGCAACGCCGGCUACGUGUAGCCGGACUGAGAGUACCUGAAGAAAAAGCAUCGGCUAACUCCGUGCCAGCAGCCGCGGUAAUACGGAGGAUGCGAGCGUUAUCCGGAUUUAUUGGGUUUAAAGGGUGCGUAGGCGGAAUGCCAAGUCAGCGGUAAAAUCGCGGGGCUCAACCUCGCUCCGCCGUUGAAACUGGCGGUCUUGAGUGGGCGAGAAGUAGGCGGAAUGCGUGGGGGAGCGGUGAAAUGCAUAGAUAACACGCAGAACUCCGAUUGGGAAGGCAGCAUACCGGCGCCCAACUGACGCUGAAGCACGAAAGCGUGGGUAUCGAACAGGAUUAGAUACCCCGGUAGUC